RNAcentral lists this transfer RNA (71 nucleotides) under Candidatus Saccharimonadota bacterium. RNAcentral's name for it is "tRNA-Cys". It matches the Rfam family "tRNA". From Rfam's summary of the family: Transfer RNA (tRNA) molecules are approximately 80 nucleotides in length. The record is from RNAcentral. Lineage: Bacteria; Candidatus Saccharimonadota.
GACCGGGUGACGGAGUGGCUACGUGUCGGUCUGCAAAACCGAUUACAGGGGUUCGAAUCCCCUCCCGGUCU